CCCUUAGAAGUUCUGGGCUGCACGCGCGCGACACUGAUGCGCUCAAGGAGUUUACGACCUUGCCUGGAAAGGUUGGGUAAUCUUCUUAAAAAACAUCGUGAUGGAGCUAGAUUAUUGCAACUAUUAAUCUUCAACGAGGAAUUCCUAGUAAGCGCGAGUCAUCAGCUCGUGCUGAUUACGUCCCUGCCCUUUGUACACACCGCCCGUCGCUCCUACCGAUUGCGUGCUACUGAAUAAUUCGGACUGCAGCAACGUUCGGUUCCUGAAUGUCGCAGUGGAAAGUUUAGUGAACCUUAUCACUUAGAGAAAAAAAAGUCGUAACA
RNAcentral lists this ribosomal RNA (323 nucleotides) under uncultured eukaryote. RNAcentral's name for it is "partial 18S ribosomal RNA". It matches the Rfam family "Eukaryotic small subunit ribosomal RNA", at positions 1470 to 1796 of the family's 1831-position model. The record is from RNAcentral.